UGGAGAGUCUCAAACAUGCAGUGACGUGUACGGUAUUAUUUGCAUGUCAGCAUGUCCCCGCCCCCCUCUAGUGUCCCUCGCCCCGCCUCAGGAGAGCUCUGUGCGCAGGAAGUAGAUAAAGCGCACGCUUCCGGGUCGACUGCGCAGGACACGUCACUCUGUGAGGACCGAGUGUAUAUACAAACACACACGAAGACCUCUUCAGUCCCCGCUCUUUCAUUAUCGAGACAACACUGGUGUUGUACAAGAAGCCAGCAAGCCAGCAAGCCAGCAAGCCACAUUGAUAGACACACAAACCUGUUGCAGCUGUCGUAGUCUUUAGCCAUCAGCAAAAACAUCAUCUGUCUUCAUCAGCCCUCCGUUGUCAACUUUUGCCCGAGGGCGAUACCCUUCUUUUUUAUUGAUCUGUCCUGCUAUGGUCGGUAGCUGCAGUCAUGCCAGCAUUCAGCUGUCGGGCCAGCUGCACUGAGAUGCCCACGUACCUGGGUAGACGUCCCAUUUGCUUCUAUGAUGCCACCCCGUUCGCCAGGGGUCGCCGUUGUUCAGUUCACAAGGCUAAACUCAUCGGUGGGCUACACAGUGAUGAGAAGUACAUCGCCAAGAUGUCCACCCCUGCCCACCCCUUGACAUGUCAGGAGUGCUCGAUGGAGGUAGAAAAGAACAACAUGGUAGAGGAGAUGGUGAAGAGAUUUCAGGAGAUUGUCCAGAGUGAUCCCUUUCUGUCGGUUGCCCCUUACAACUUUGUCAGGAGACAGAGCAGGAAAAAUGGCGGAACGGAAGAGUUUAUCCUCGUGCAGGAGAGACAAACGAAGAAAGGAAAGUUCGGCGAGUUCGUGUCUCCGGCAGGGGAGAGCAGAGUGGACACACAUGGAGUUCUGGAAGCCUUUGGACACUUCAGCUACGACUUCUCCUGCGGCGAGGUGGUGUGGCCGGCCUGAAGGGGGUGAUGGAGGGCAGAAGACCCCCAUGGAAGGUCUGCACUCUGACCUCUGUCACCCUGCACUCUCUGCAGCAGAGGUUUGGGGUGGAGGACGAAGGUGCCAAUGGCAUACAGACUUUCUUCGCGAACCACUGCUGCACACGCUUGUGCCAGAACUUUCGGCCAUACUCGUGUGAUGAGGAAUCGUCCAUGGAACUGUAACCCUGUGGUUGAACCCUCGGCUCCACUACUGGAGGAUUUCUCAACCUCUUGUUACCCGGACAACCAAAGAUCUGUUCUUCCACCACCGUAUUCAGAGAUGAAUAAUAAUAACUAUAAUGGUGUUACACAACCUCCGUUCUGUCUGUAUUACUAUCAGAACCCAUGAGCUGAUAUGGAAAAAAGGACUAUACCCUCUAUCAGAUACAAAUUUAUUUUAUUCAGACUAAACCGCAUAAUCCUUGAACCUCGAUGCUCUGUGUAAAUAUUUUUGUGAGUAAAUUAAUUUAUGUACGUGCACUUCGGACUCACGAGUUUGAGGUAUCAUAGUCAAUAUACUUAUAUAAUAAAUUAUUAGACAUUUUAUAAUAAUAACUAUACUCCUUCCUGAUCAGGGUAAAAUUUCUGUUGGCAAUAUGGCUCGCGAAUAUAUUAUGGAAUCUCUAAUUUUCCCAAUCUCAUGCUGUCAAAGCUUCUCCACUCGUAACCGUUGGGAAAAAAUGUUGUUGCACAAAACUGUAUCAACGGUCCUCAUUGCCAACUCUUGAAGUGAACAAGCCAUCGAGCAUGGCAACGACCCCAGUACACACCUACAUGCUUUUUUUUCAAACGAAUUUUACUGAUAAGCAAAUGGAACGGUGUGCUCUCUGAGUGGGGACGUCAGGGUUCGAAUCUGAGUUAGGACAUUGGAAAAGAAGUGUUUUAUUUAGGGUGCAGGCACCUUUACAGAUGAAUUGUGUUCGAGUUCUGUGAUAAUGGAGACCUGAGUGUGCUCGAGCUUCUGAUAACCGUUUUCUGUGAUGAACCGGGUAUUGAAGGGAGAACUUACAAGCAAGGGUAUAUCUGCACUGUAUGCUGUGCACUUUGUACAUUUAACCCAUGAACCAACUGCUUAGAGUAAGUUUCUGUUCAUGGUGUAUAAUAAUAUAAUAGUGAUAGAGAUAUCUGUAGUUUAUAUUAGAAUAACAGCAGUAACUAACUCAGUUAUGUUAAUAGAAGAUUCUUUUCAUCAAAGCUGAAAAUAAAUUUAAUAAUAAAAGUUACAGUUAUGAAAUAAGAAGGAAAGAUAAUUUAAAAUCAUAAUUCUAGGUUUGUCUGCAGAUAGAGUUUGUACAUUAAACUCUACAAACACAACCGAGAGGCUUGUAGCGGGCAGCCAGUGAUAACUGUGUUUGUUUAUGAUGUUGAUAUUUCUGUUUCGGGUGAGGAAAUAAAAUGAAGUGGGGUGGGGAAUGCUUAGUCACAUUUUGCUUUUCUCUCUUUCGGUUUCGCCAUCGCUUGUCUGUGAGACAUGAACUGUACACUGUUCAUUAUGUCCUAUCAUACGAUCCGCUCAAUAAACUGCUUGCUUUGUUGU
Molecule: long non-coding RNA, 2495 nt
Filed under: Pomacea canaliculata
Lineage: Eukaryota; Metazoa; Mollusca; Gastropoda; Architaenioglossa; Ampullariidae
Description: uncharacterized LOC112553154
Source: RNAcentral